UAGGUCUGGGCAUGGAGAACAUAGGGGAUCUCUAUAACGUGUAUAUCUAUGUAUGUAACGUGUGUAUCUAUGUCUGUAUCUCUAGGUCUGGGCAUGGAGAACAUCGGGGGAUCUCUAUAACGUGUAUAUCUAUGUAUGUAACGUGUGUAUCUAUGUCUGUAUCUCUAGGUCUGGGCAUGGAGAACAUAGGGGAUCUCUAUAACGUGUGUAUCUAUGUCUGUAUCUCUAGGUCUGGGCAUGGAGAACAUCGGGGGCAUCUUCGUGGUGCUGAUCUGCGGCCUCAUCCUGGCCGUGUUCGUGGCCGUCAUGGAGUUCGUCUGGUCCACCCGCCACUCGGGGUCCGACGAGGUACACACGCCCCUUCACCACCCCUCCUCCUCCUCAGGCCACGCCCACUGCCAACACACCCCAGUGUCCGUCUGUCAGGAGAUGAUGUCAGAGUUCCGGAACGCCGUCUCCUGCAGGAAGAGCUCGCGGUCGCGGCGCCGCCGGCCACUGACCGGCUCGGCGGGGGGCGGAGUCCUGAGGCCCCGCCCCCGGCCCCGCCCACUGCGGCUGGUGAGGGACGUGCGCUUCAGCAACGGCCAGCUGUGCGGCCUGGGGGGGGGCUUCGGGCCCCCGGGGGGGGGCUGGACCCGGGGCCCGGCCCCCACCGCCUCCUGGUGGAGGACCCGUUAGGGGCCGACGUGGGCCCGCCGGCCCCUCCCCCGGCCCCUCUGGCUCCUCCCCCCACCGCCAAGCCCCUCCUCCCCAUGCUGUCGGCGCCGCCCCCCCCGGUGGCCCCGCCCCCGCUGGCCGCCCGGGUCUGCCAGGAGUGCCGCCGCAUCCAGGCGCUGCGGCCGUCUCACCCGUCUCACCCGUCUCACCCGCCGCCCCCGCCCUCCUCCUCCUCGCUCACCCCUCUGGCCCUGUCGCCGCGGCAACACCACCACCACUACCACCACCACCACCAGCACCACCAGCAGCACCCCCACCACCACCUCCUCCUGCACCCCCCCCACCACCACUACCACCACGGCUCCAUGUCCCUGCCCCGCCUCCCCCCCCCACCUCCCCCCCCUCCCCCCCACCUCCUCCUCCGCCUCCGACCGGGCCGACAGCGACGGGGGAGGGGGGGGCGGAGUCGGCUGCAGGAUGAAGCCCCUCCCUCCACCACGCCCCCUCCCCCCGCCCGCUAA
RNAcentral lists this long non-coding RNA (1178 nucleotides) under Gadus morhua (Atlantic cod). RNAcentral describes it as "lncRNA (ENSGMOG00000027001.1)". Lineage: Eukaryota; Metazoa; Chordata; Actinopteri; Gadiformes; Gadidae. The record is from RNAcentral.